RNAcentral lists this long non-coding RNA (3165 nucleotides) under Xyrichtys novacula (pearly razorfish). Lineage: Eukaryota; Metazoa; Chordata; Actinopteri; Labriformes; Labridae. The record is from RNAcentral.
UUAUUGACGUUGUAGUCAAGGAUACCUCAAGAUCAUCUGGGAAACACAGCUGAUGCCUUGCAACAUAUUUUGUAAACCAAUGUUAUUUCCAGUAUUCCAGUCCCGUGGGAUUCAAAAUGGAUUUGUCGGCUCCACUUAAAAGCAAACACAGACAAAUAUGCACUUAAAAAUAUAGAUUUGUAAAAGGUUAUGAGUAAAUAAGCUCAGAUCAGGAGUAGUUGGUGUUUAUUGCAAGCCCUGAUGGAAACUAACAAGACACACAGGAUGUUGAGAGUGCCAUGUGACCAGAAACAGGUGGUACCCUCAUUUCUAUUCUGGGAACCAUGUACAGUAUUUAGGCACACAUUUGUCCACCAUUUCUUUCAACAUGCAGACCCACUUUCUUGUCAGCUGAACUGUACACUCAACAGAUACAGGUCAAGACUUAAAGCAUUACUGUAUCUUUAAUGUACAUUUUCGCUUUUAGUUGUUUCUGCAUGACGUCAAUCUGCAAUGUCUCUCUUUGGCCCAAAUGUGUGGCUGCACAGGAGUUACUGGCAACGCUGCAGGCUAUAACACAGCGCAGCGCACAUACAUGCACACAAAAGCAGUCAGCCUGAAUAAAAACAGGCGAAGGGCACGGGGGCAACGUGUGUAAACACCUCAGUUAAUGUGGUUUUGCUCAGUGUCUCCUUUGCUUUUGCCCUUAUGAUCUCUGCAGGCAGGAUUUGUGUAGACAGGGAGAAAUAACAGAUUAGAGGAAGGAUAGCAGAUUAGCUAUGAGGCAUAAAAUAACAAGAAAAGAGUUUUAAAAAAGAGGAAAAUCACAGUUUUUGCACCUCAUGCAGGUAAAUCUCCAUAAUCUUUAGACAGAAUUUGAAUGAGGUUAAAUGCAUAUGGUUACAGAUAUGGCAGCCAAAUAGGAGAGCGACAGAAAAGUGUGCAAAAUCCCCCUGUCCCUUUUCUUCUGGCAGUGUUGUGUCCUGGAGGCAGAGCUCCCACACAACAGACGGGACUCCCAUCACACAGCCUGCAGGGUGGAGCUGUCUCACUGUAAAAAAAUGCCGCCAGCAACACAGAGAGUCCAAUAACUCUGUUGCAGAGGAGCAAGCCGGUGCAGAACACUGCUGUUUUCCCAUUUUUGUAAAAAUUAGCGAAGAUGCCAUGUUGGGGGAAGUAGCCUGAAGGCUGAGAGAUGAGGCCUUGAAAACAGAAGGGGGCCUCACACUCUGAACAAGAUAGAAAAAUGUGUCUGUGGUGCAUUAUCAAGCCCGCAGGGAAAUUCCUUUUUUAUUUUAUCCAUUUCAGUGUGUCUCCUCACACGGACCCGGAUGACAGCUAAUGUGCUUUUUCUGGCAGUGUGUGUCACAACAAGUAUGUGUAUUAUUCACAGAUAAUGAGGGAAUCCUCAGUGGAAAGGCGCUCGCUGGAUUAAAGCAGCACCUGAUACCAAGUUCACCGGGUUUAUUAGUUUUCUAUUCUGCAGAAAAGAAAACAACCGACUCAAUCAAUACCUCCUGAACUGAACACGCCUGAGGGCUCAUUCCCUGAAAUGUGGACAAAAGAUAAAAACUGAUGACUUAAAAAAGAAAAAAAAGUGCCUUGCUGCGGGACUUAAUGAUCAGAUUUGACCUUAUGUUAAUUCCAAGAGCGCUGAUCAAAGGUCUGAGGUGAACUUUGUUUGUAGGAGCAGCAAAAAUCAGCCCAUCCCUAAACUAAAUUUGUACUCUUUUUUACUUUUUCUUUCAGCUGCAUCCAAUUUAAGCCUGCUACUCGCUUGCUUAUUAGCCAUGAGGUUUUCUUCUGUGCAACAAAAAAAAACUAACAAGGGUCUGAAUGUUUUACUGGCUUUUUGUAGGACUGCUAAGUUUAGGGUCAUUUCCCAGAAAAGCCAAGAAGCUUUUAGCUGUAGUAAAAUAAACAUAAAAAAUAAACAUGAUAAUAACAAUUUUCUUUUGGCUGCAUUUUAAUUAAAGGUGGGGUAGGAAGUGCCCGUUUUGGGGAGAAAUCUUGAAUGUAAACUCUACCCCUCCCAACCAGUUUUCCCCUCAGCUCCUCCUCUCCCCUCCCUCUCUGCUCCAGCAAGCCCCGCCCACAAACAGACGGUCCUGCUUAUUCCUAUUGUUUCAAUUAAAUUCAAAUGAAAUGCUGAUAAAUACUUCAGAUAAUUACAAAUGAAACCCAGUCAACGUAAAAGUGAAAAGCAUCGGGGCUACUGUAGAAGCCAACAGACUACCAGCAAACACAACGUUUGCAGGACUUCUACAACUAGGAUAAAGUGGCAUAGUCCAGGAACGGAGGUAAACAAUUCGGCGGCGAUACAACACACAGCAGACAAUGUGAAUUGUCGCGUGAAACAGAAUGUAGCCAAUCAAGAAGCGAGCUGACUGAGGAACAAGAGACCAAAUAAAGCGAAUAAAAAUAAAGCAUGUCCUACGGGAGUACGGGAUUUAGUACAGGAUUCUUCUGUCAAAACCACCAUCAUUCGCUCCUCUUGUGUGUGCUCUUCCAUGUUGCGUCUUGUGUUUCCCGAUUGUUGCUAUGUUUCUUCUUCUUCUUCACUUUUGUUAGAUCACGUUUUAUCACAUGAGAUUUCUGUCUUGGAGGACUAGAUUCUAGAUCGGUGUUGGAACAGACUCGUUUUGUGUGUUUUGUGCUGUGUUGAGAUUAUCGGAGCACACCACACAGAGGACGAUCAAAACUGUUCAAUGUGUGGUUUUUCAUCUUCAUGUGUGUGGUCUGUAACAGAUAAAAAAUCUCCUCAGAUUUAAAAAAUCCUUAUGUGUGUGCCCCGCUUUAGUUUCUUUCUUUAUGCAAACAAACUAGUGGAACAUCUUACGUCACUUUCACACCAGAGCUGUUUGGUCCGCUUGAAACGGACCAGAGUUCAUUUCCUUGGAUAGUCCGCUUCGUUUGGGCAGGUGUGAAAGCUCACCGGACCAAACACAGGACCAAAUGUACGUAAUGACGCUAUACGCAGUGCAUACGCAGUGCAUCUUGGGUAGAGGAAGCAUGGCGUCUCUUGUUGCUAUGGCAACAAGUGACCGCUGACGUUAGCAGUUGCUAGCUAGCUUAGCUCAAUUGUCUGAACAACAAUAACCCAUAAAUUCACAAUUUGGCGUAUUUAAACAAAAUCAAACCACAACUACCGACAGUCACAGUCCUUAAACUCUGAGCUCAUAUGUU